CCUACGGGAGGCAGCAGUGAGGAAUAUUGGUCAAUGGACGCAAGUCUGAACCAGCCAUGCCGCGUGCAGGAAGACGGUGCUAUGCAUUGUAAACUGCUUUUAUACGGGAGUAAUUACAGAUACGUGUAUCUGGAGGAAAUUACCGUAUGAAUAACGAUCGGCUAACUCCGUGCCAGCAGCCGCGGUAAUACGGAGGGUCCGAGCGUUAUCCGGAUUUAUUGGGUUUAAAGGGUGCUUAGGCGGUAAGGUAAGUUAGAGGUGAAAGCUCGAUGCUCAACAUCGAAACUGCCUCUGAUACUGGUUGACUAGAGUGUAGGUGAGGAAGGCGGAAUGUGUGGUGUAGCGGUGAAAUGCUUAGAUAGCACACAGAACACCGAUUGCGAAGGCAGCUUACCAAGCUAUUACUGACGCUGAGGCACGAAAGCGUGGGGAGCGAACAGGAUUAGAUACCCUAGUAGUC
This 460-nucleotide ribosomal RNA is filed under the name uncultured bacterium. RNAcentral's name for it is "partial 16S ribosomal RNA". It matches the Rfam family "Bacterial small subunit ribosomal RNA", at positions 338 to 795 of the family's 1533-position model. The record is from RNAcentral.